Phacochoerus africanus (Common warthog) is the source of this 911-nucleotide long non-coding RNA. RefSeq lists it as uncharacterized. The record is from RefSeq and is a predicted model, not a curated record. Lineage: Eukaryota; Metazoa; Chordata; Mammalia; Artiodactyla; Suidae. The transcript is spliced from 2 exons.
GAGGGAUCCAUGGUUUUAUUUUUAUCUGCUGACGUCUGUCUGAGGCUACGCUGGCUCCCAGACUGUGGAGGGGCCGCCUGCCGAGCGGAGAAGAGCUGGGUCCCCAGCAUCCAGAGGCCUCUGCGGGAGGGAAGGCCCCCUCAUCCCCGUGGAGCUCCGCGGGGGCUCAGCUCCGGCCGGAAGAAGCAGGCUUGCCUGAUCCUAGGAGCUUGGCCGAGGACCCCAGGGUGUCUGCCCUCCGCGCUGGAGGUGGACAAGAGAGAGGCGCCUUCGACCACAGCCCGCAGCAUGAAGACAGCAGGAAGAGUGUGAGCAGCUCUCAGGAGGAAGGAAAGGGGCUUGAAUAUUUUCUGAGGCCUCAUUUUACCCGCUGGGUCCUCGGAACACGAAGCAGCUCAGUUGUAAACUAGUCUGGUGGAGAAGGCCACAAGGCUGGAACUCAGAACCCUGAGAAUCUUCCACUGCUGCCUUGCUGUGUGUCUUGGGACAAGUUGCUCUGGGCUCAAAAGUAAAAAAUGGAGACGGAGGGACUAGAGGCCUGGCACGUGUUUCCUUUCAUCUUCCCAGGGAGGGUCAGCCCAUUCCAGGGGGCUGUGGGCAUCUCUGGAGAGACUUACCCCUUUGGCUUCAGCACACGUCCUGAGGAAGCUGUGUCUGGAUCUGGGGAGCUGCAGGCAGAGGCCGAGCUGGGACAUCUAAUGCCCGCAGUGGCACCUGAGGACUUGGAGGGAGUCUCAAGAUGAGCCUUGGGCCACCUUUGCCUCCCUUUAAGGCGGCUGCAUCACUGUUUCAUGGGCGGGGCUGGAAGGGGGCACUGGGCCCAAGUCACUUCAUAGUUGCAGUUUGCUGUCAACAGAGGCAUCUUGUUCACUAAAUAAUAAGCUCUAAAUAAAAAUGGCAAUAAUAUCUUC